Molecule: ribosomal RNA, 488 nt
Filed under: Clostridium senegalense
Lineage: Bacteria; Bacillati; Bacillota; Clostridia; Eubacteriales; Clostridiaceae
Description: partial 23S ribosomal RNA
Rfam family: Bacterial large subunit ribosomal RNA
Source: RNAcentral
AAAUCUUUUAGGUCAAGCUACAAAGGGCGCAGGGUGAAUGCCUUGGCACUAGGAGCCGAAGAAGGACGUGAUAAGCUGCGAUAAGCUUUGGGUAGGCGCAAAUAGCCUGUGAUCCAGAGAUUUCCGAAUGGGGAAACCUACUUAAUUAUAUUAAGUACCAUAUGCUGAAUACAUAGGUAUAUGGGGGUAAACCCGGGGAACUGAAACAUCUAAGUACCCGGAGGAAGAGAAAGAAACAUCGAUUUCCUAAGUAGCGGCGAGCGAAAGGGAAAGAGCCCAAACCAAAGCCUUUGGCUUUGGGGUUGUGGACAGAACAUAAAAGUGUGAAAUUUUUAGUUGAAGAUAGCUGGAAAGCUACUCCGUAGAAGGUAAUAGACCUGUAAGCAAAAGGAAUUAAGCAUAAGUUCUGAUCCAGAGUACCACGAGACACGUGAAACCUUGUGGGAAGCAGGGAGGACCACCUCCCAAGGCUAAAUACUACCUAGUGA